CGCUCGGGAAGUUUUGGUAGCUCUUGCUGAGAAGUUCAGUGAGUCUGCAGAACGAAAAGGGAAGAUUGUUGUGCAAAUGAAACAAGUAUGGAAUUGGUUCCAAAAUAGACGCUAUGCAAUAAGGGCAAAAUCAAGCAAGGCUCCUGUGAAGUUAAAUGUGACUCCUAUGUCUCGAGAGGAGUCAACUCCUGUGAGGAGUGUGCCCCAACCUGUAGCUGCUUCUAUUCCUACUCCUCUUCCUACAACCACGGC
This 252-nucleotide unclassified non-coding RNA is filed under the name Hevea brasiliensis (rubber tree). The record is from RNAcentral. Lineage: Eukaryota; Viridiplantae; Streptophyta; Magnoliopsida; Malpighiales; Euphorbiaceae.